AUGCAGUCUGACGAGAAGGGAACUGCGGUUCCUGAGUACAGUGGCGCACGGGUGCGUAACACGUAGGUAAUCUACCCCGGACUCUGGGAUAACGUCUCGAAAGGGACGCUAAGACUGGAUAGGGUCCUCGAGGCGGACGCUGCGAGGGGAAAACGGGCCUCUGCUAUACGCCUGUGGUCCGGGAGGAGCUUGCGGCCCAUUAGCUCGUUGGUAGGGUAACGGCCUACCAAGGCGACGAUGGGUAGCUGGUCUGAGAGGAUGAUCAGCCACACUGGCACUGAGAGACGGGCCAGACUCCUACGGGAGGCAGCAGUGGGGAAUUUUGCGCAAUGGGCGAAAGCCUGACGCAGUAACGCCGCGUGGAGGACGAAGGCCUUCGGGUUGUAAACUCCUGUCAGGGGGAACGACAGCAGUAGGACGAACGCCCCUACUGUCCAGACGGUACCCCCAAAGGAAGCCCCGGCUAAUUCCGUGCCAGCAGCCGCGGUAAGACGGAAGGGGCAAGCGUUGUUCGGAAUCAUUGGGCGUAAAGGAGUGAGUAGGCGGUUUGGUAGGUCUGCUGUGAAAGCCCACGGCUCACCCGUGGAAAGGCAGCAGAAACGGCCAGACUUGAGGCUGGGAGGGGUUGGUGGAAUUCCCCGUGUAGCGGUGAAAUGCGUAGAGACGGGG
Molecule: ribosomal RNA, 669 nt
Filed under: uncultured bacterium
Lineage: Bacteria
Description: bacterial SSU rRNA
Rfam family: Bacterial small subunit ribosomal RNA
Source: RNAcentral